GACGAACGCUGGCGGCGUGCUUAACACAUGCAAGUCGAACGAUGAAGCGGGUGCUUGCACUCGUGGAUUAGUGGCGAACGGGCGAGUAACACGUGAGUAACCUGUCCUUUUCUUUGGGAUAACGGCUGGAAACGGCUGCUAAUACUGGAUAUUCAGGCUGCAUCGCAUGGUGUGGUUUGGAAAGGUUUUUUCUGGGAUUGGGUGGGCUCGCGGCCUAUCAGCUUGUUGGUGGGGUGAUGGCUUACCAAGGCUUUGACGGGUAGCCGGCCUGAGAGGGUGGUCGGUCGCACUGGGACUGAGAUACGGCCCAGACUCCUACGGGAGGCAGCAGUGGGGAAUAUUGCACAAUGGACGAAAGUUUGAUGCAGCGACGCCGCGUGGAGGGUGUAGGCCUUCGGGUUGUGAACUCCUUUUUCUCGCGAAAAAGGCACAGUUUUGGCUGUGUUGAUGGUAGUGGGGGAAGAGGCGCCGGCUAACUACGUG
This 483-nucleotide ribosomal RNA is filed under the name uncultured bacterium. Its description in RNAcentral is "partial 16S ribosomal RNA". It matches the Rfam family "Bacterial small subunit ribosomal RNA", at positions 28 to 507 of the family's 1533-position model. The record is from RNAcentral.